RNAcentral lists this long non-coding RNA (2113 nucleotides) under Paramuricea clavata. The record is from RNAcentral. Lineage: Eukaryota; Metazoa; Cnidaria; Anthozoa; Malacalcyonacea; Plexauridae.
AAACCCUAAAGCACCAACCCCUAAAGCACCAACCCAUCCCCAACAAUAAAAUUACAUCUUACUGUCAAUUUGUCUUUGAAAUCUGACCACCAAUGUUUAUUUGUAAGUUCGGAAUGUAUGUUGUAAAGUUUGACUGCAGUUUGUUUUAAAGUUGGUUCUGUGAAAAUCGGGCUGAGUUGAAUUUAAAUGGUUCUUAUUUCCAGUCAAAAUAUGGGUCUCUAUUUACUUGUUUCUAUAUACACCUGUUGACUCUGGAUGGUCUUCAGAAUUAUCAAAUAAUGUACCUGCAUUAUAAAUGCUUUCUCCUUUAACUUAAUAGACUAAGUGUUCAUGCAUACUAAAAAACCAAACAUGGUGAAUUAUACUACAGGUAUAUACAAUAACUGUACCAGCCAGGGUGUUAAACCUGGCUUGUCCAAAAAAUACUGUGGGUGAUGUGUGGCAACUUACAUGGUGCUUGAAAUGAAUUGUCACAUGCUGACAAUUCAGCAUCUUUUCAACAAAAAUUAUCGAAACAUAUGAAGUAGAUAAUGUAAACAGCAGCUGACAACUUUUGAGGUAUUCACGAAAUAUCACAAAGCUUGCAAGUUGCUGUUUAAUAAAGAAAACAAUUUCUUAGGUCAUCCAUGGCCAUCUAGUUAAAAAGUGGCUGACGUCUAAUUUCAAGAGUGGCUGGUGCAAAAUGUACACUACUAUAACAAACAUAAUUUAAUUAUUAAUGUCAAUAAAUUUGAACAAAUAUGCUCAAGCAUUAAUUAAAUAUGAUACAGUACAUGUAUGCGGGGAUGGAUCCAGCAUGAUCUGGUAGGGGGGUGCUCUGGUGCCAACUGCUGAAUUAUGUCGGUCAUGUGUGCCGCCCACCCAUCAACUGCUGUAUUUGAAUUGUAAUUGUUCACAGUUCACUUAUCAUCAUGUUAUUACUCAAAUUAUUGUAUCUCAUUUUGUCUUUUUUGCUUUAUCAUAAAAAAUAGCACCCUCCUGCACCCCCUCUGGCCAGGGCUAGGGGGGUACACACCCCACACCCUCCCAGUAAAUCCAUCCCUGCAUGUAUGUGCACUUUCUAUAUUGUGCUCAGGCAUUUGGUGGAGCAUGUUGUUGGCCACGUUGAGGGAUCACAGCUCAAUUUGUAUUCACCAAUAACUUUCAGAAAGACAUCAUAAAGGACAAGAGAUACUAUAAUCUAUACUAGUAAUCCAUGCUAAAAUGUCUUCAUUCUUCAACAUCGUCAGUUGGCCCUGCCCUUGGAUAUUCAGGAAGAAGCCCUUUUUCAAUUCUAUAUCAACAUCUGAACUGCUGUAAUUAAAAAGGAACAUAGAAUUUUUCACUGAGAGAAAAUCUGAUCACUUUAUAAUGUGCUGUUCUUUUAAAAUCGUCUCUAUCACCAGACAAUUUCACUUGCCAAGGAGAUAGGCAUGCAUGUCAAGGAGAUGGGCAUGCAGGCUAGUAAUACCAGCCCAGAUAUAAAAUCUAUAAAAACAGGCAAAUAACUCCUAAGUCUUCUAAAUAGUCUUUCAAAGUAAUUUAACACUUACUGUAAAGAAAAAUGAUCCUAAUAUUGGGGGACUUUCAAAAUUCAUCGUGAAAAUCAAGCUUUGGUGGCGCAAUAUCUUCCCCAGAUAUUAGACGCCAUUUUGGCAAAGGUUGAAUUGAGUAUGGUCACUUCAAUGCCAAAUAUCUCGAAAACUCCCGGGGGAUCCCGGGGAUCCCUCCAGCAGAUUUUUAGUUUAGACAUUUGUCUUGAUUUUUUUGCAAAAAUUACGAAAAUCGAACCAUGGGAAUUCCAGAUUUUUUAGUUUGAAAAUUGUAAACAGACUCGGACUUGAGUCAUCACGUUGCCAAGGCAUGACCAACUUUAAUCAUCGAAAACAGGUUAAAAAAUAACGUUUACCUCAGAAAUUCUUGCACAUAUCGCCAGUCCUUUUAUAAUACUAAGGCCACGGUUGCAUUUUGAUAGAAAAAUAUGAAUAUUUAUAUAUAUUUUUUGAGUUCUUCUGUGUCCAAUGCAAAUUAGAAGGCCAAAAUUAUUCGCCAACACGAUGGAAAAUAGAGCGAUCUCAUUGGUCGAGAGCUCACGUGACAACUCGCUAAUUAGCUGUCCAACCUCCUCUGCUGU